GGUCGCGAGGAGGUCCCCCGGGCGCGAAGAAGACGCCAGCCCACCCCAGCCGCCGGGGAGAUCGCCCAGGCCGCGCUCAGCCCCGCCCCUGGCUCUGCCCCCGCCGCGGAGCGGAACCCUCCAAGUCGCGGCCUGAGGAGGAAGGAAAAGGGGGCGGCCCGGGAGAGCCGCUGCGAAAUCAGCAACGGGCGGGAACCAGGUUGCCUCCCUGAGUCCCUUCUCUCCCCGGCCGGCUGCCAACCACAGCCAAGGCCAGAGAAACAGGCCCUUCUGCCGCGGCCACCUGGGCGCCUUGGACCCGCCCUCCGGACUCGCCCCCGCCCCUGCCGCGGAGUGGAACGUUUGGAACCCUGAGGGGCACAGCUCCUCUAGCAAUUCCGAUGUGAAAAGAAGAUGGAUGGAGAAGCACUGAUUCAGCCAUGGCUGACAUGUCGGAGUUGGAAUGGACAGUGCCCGGACCUCACAGUCUCAGAGAACUGGAGAAGAGUAAAGCUGAAGAGGGCAUCAUCUGGUUACAAAUGACAAGUCCAGGGCUCCAGCUUCUUCGGCUCCUUGGCCAUGUGUGUACUUUAUGAUGAAGCGCCCAGCUUCUGCAGGAUAUCCAUACUGCCAAGGUCAAAAGCAACAAUAAGCGACGUGGGGCUCAGUCUGUUCUCGUGGGCUACAAUGCAUGCUUCUGGUUUCCAGGUUGUUCUUGCUCUCCCUUAUUUUACAUUUAUCCUUCCUUCCCAACUGCCUGUCCGAUAGAUGUCGAGUCCCAACAUCAGAUGUGAAGAUGAGAGCUUUAUAGAGACUGCUUAACCAGCUCCCACAGUUGUAUUAGGACAAAUCCCUGUAGCAAAUCCCUUUGUGUGUGUGUGUGUGUGUGUGUGUGUGUGUAUGUGUGUGUGUGUGCGCGCGCACGCGCGUGCACGCACCUUAGUGGUUCUCCUGUGAUUGAAUCCUGACUUACACAGUUUGAGAUAGAAACCUUCUGAAGCAAUUAGAUUAAAUGGUCUAUAACUGUGCUGUCCAACAUGGUAGCCAUUAGCUACAUGUGGCUAUUUAAAUUUAAAUUAAUUAAAGUUAAACAUAAUUAGAAUUUAGUACCCCAGUCAAGUUUCAAGUGCUCAAUACUGUGGUCACAUGUGGCUGGUGGCCACUGUUUUGGGCAGCACAGAUAUAGAGCACUUCCGUUAUUGCAAAAAAAUGUUCUAUGAGCACUGGUCUAUAGUGAUAAUUACUAGUAUUUACUGAGUUCUCACCAUGUGUCAGAUGCAGAUUCCAAGUUUGCUCUGGAGAGCACGAUGCGGCAGGCAAACGGGGAAAGAGAGAGAGUGAUGGGAAUCAGGUGGGAGAUUUUUUUUUUUUUUUUUGAGAUGGAGUCUCUCUCACUCUGUCACCCAGGCUGGAGUGCAGUGGCACAAUAUCGGAUCACUGCAACCUCCGCCUCCCAGGUUCAAGUGAUUCUCCUGCCUCAGUCUCCCAAGUAGCCAGGAUUACAGACUUGUACCACCACGCCUGGCUAAGUUUUGUAUUUUUAGUAGAGACAGGGUUUCACCAUGUUGGCCAGGCUGGUCUCGAACCCCUGACCUCAGGUGAUCCACCCUCCUUGACCUUCCAAAGUGCUGAGAUUACAGGUGUGAGCCAUUGCACCUGGCCAGGUGGGAGAUUUUUAAUGACCAGGCCUGGAGGUGGCACACAUCACUUAUACCCACAUCCAUUGGCCAGCACUCAGUUACACGGCCACUUCUAACUACAAGGGAGGUUGGGAAAUGUAGCCUAGCUGUGUGCUGAGGAAGAAAAAGUAAAAGCUUUGGUGCCAGCCAGUCUCUGCCACAUCAGAUUUAAUUUGAGCGCUGUGAAGUAAUUAAUGCCCAUUAAACUAAGGGUGGGACAAGAUUAAUGCUAAAAUCACUCUCCCCAGCCACCAUUUUCUCUCUUGUUCUUUGUCAUGAUAUUGACAAGGUCAAAAGUCAGGCAGUCAGCAUGAACCCGAGGAGGAGAAGUCCUUGCCACUUUGAGGCUGAAUAUGAACAGCCCCUUCUUUAUGACUCACCCUAUCAGCUUUGCUCCUAGCGAAUGUUCAUAUCGUGGUUCUCCGGGACCCUUGAAAGUGGGACUCCUAUGUGAGGAACUAGUUCUAUAAACAACUACAUGCUAGUAAAAAACCAUUAAGAGGGUUGGAAUUAGGCAUAGUCCUGCUGCAUAGAAAUCCUACUUAGUUGGAAAAAUUGUAUUUUUAAGUUGCCUCUGUUUUGAAGCCACGUUAACCCUUAACCUUCAGAAAAUCCUUAGCCAGCCUUUAUACAUUGGUAGCUCCUGUUCUAAUAAUGUCUUCUCCUCCUAUUUUCUUUGGCUUGUCAUGAGCUUUGAAAGUUUGAUCUGAGAUCCCUCACUUUUAAUAAUCUGUAACUCUGAUUUGGUAAUCUCCUACAUAUGAAUAAAAUGUCUGUGUUCAUUUAUUUCUAAUGAAUAAAUGAACAUGCCUGCUGAGCCAAGCCUUAAAUGUGAUUAAGGAGACUGACUUGGGUUCAGAUCCUGGCUCUGCCUUGAGUAAGUUUCUAACAUUCCUCUGCUUGUAUUUCCUUAUCUGUAAAAUGGGAGUGAUUUCUUUGAAUGAAAUUAUAUUACAUUUAUCAAGCAUUUUAUCACAGUUUCAACAAUAAGGUGUAAUUAUUAUUAAUUCAGACUAUAUGAUUCUGUGCCCUUGGAUAAAGUUUACCAUUAUAUAAUAAACUACU
This 2723-nucleotide long non-coding RNA is filed under the name Homo sapiens (human). RNAcentral's name for it is "novel transcript, antisense to ADGRG2and PHKA2". Lineage: Eukaryota; Metazoa; Chordata; Mammalia; Primates; Hominidae. The record is from RNAcentral.